Molecule: long non-coding RNA, 379 nt
Organism: Plectropomus leopardus (leopard coralgrouper)
Lineage: Eukaryota; Metazoa; Chordata; Actinopteri; Perciformes; Serranidae
Source: RefSeq, a predicted model, not a curated record
CUGAACCACCAGACUAAAGAGCAGCUUCUUUCCCCAAACUGCCAAUCGAAGGGCUCAGGUGAGAUGACAUCACCCCCCCGAUCAGCAGUGUGACCUCAGCCUGCAUUAUGAAUUCCUAACGAGGAUCCGACGGCAUCCAAUCAGAGGAGGCUCAGAUUAUCAGCACGGCAGAUAAUUUGUCUGCCAGUUUUUUCCACUGUUUGCACUUUCAUCCUGAUAAGAGAUUUCGACAAUGACUUCUUCAAAGUUCCACUGAGAACAAACUGUCACCACCAAAUCCUGCUGAUUCAAGCUCCUGUGGCGUGCUGAAGGUCUCAUAGACGUUGGCAGCAAACUCCUUCACCUGGUCGUUCAUCAGCAAGUCCUGACAGAGACAGAC